AUUGAACGCUGGCGGCAUGCCUUACACAUGCAAGUCGAACGGCAGCACGGGAGCAAUCCUGGUGGCGAGUGGCGAACGGGAGAGUAAUGUAUCGGAACGUGCCCUGUCGUGGGGGAUAAGGCAGCGAAAGCUGUGCUAAUACCGUAUCUGAUCUUUGGAUGAAAGCGGGGGCUCGCAAGACCUCGCCCGAUUGGAGCGGCCGAUAUCAGAUUAGCUAGUUGGUGGGGUAAAAGCUUACCAAGGCGACGAUCUGUAGCUGGUCUGAGAGGACGACCAGCCACACUGGAACUGAGACACGGUCCAGACUCCUACGGGAGGCAGCAGUGGGGAAUUUUGGACAAUGGGCGCAAGCCUGAUCCAGCAAUGCCGCGUGCAGGAUGAAGGCCUUCGGGUUGUAAACUGCUUUUGUACGGAGCGAAAAGGCGCUCUCUAAUACAGGGGGCUCAUGACGGUACCGUAAGAAUAAGCACCGGCUAACUACGUGCCAGCCGCCGCAGUAA
Molecule: ribosomal RNA, 500 nt
Filed under: uncultured bacterium
Lineage: Bacteria
Description: partial 16S ribosomal RNA
Rfam family: Bacterial small subunit ribosomal RNA
Source: RNAcentral